Molecule: non-coding RNA, 697 nt
Organism: Ceratotherium simum simum (southern white rhinoceros)
Lineage: Eukaryota; Metazoa; Chordata; Mammalia; Perissodactyla; Rhinocerotidae
Source: RefSeq, a predicted model, not a curated record
AACGAGGGGGCGGGGAGGGGUGGGAGGGCUGACAGGUGGGGCACCCGCCACCUCCCGGCCACCCUCUCCCCGCACGGGGCCCUCCACGGUGAAAUCCACGUGCUGUCUGUCGCCUUCAGCACAGGCACCUCACCUUUAAGGCCAGAGAACAAAAUCUGGAAACACUUGGCCCCCAGAUCAAACGUCCUGCCCGCGUCAGCGGUGUUUUUAGAAGUCGCUGCGGACAAGUGAGGGGGCUCCAAAUGUGACGAGCCACCCCGCUGGCGUAGGAUCACAAAUUAUGGUGAUCGGUUCUUUCACACAUUAAGAUUCGGCAAGUGUUGGAAGUAGGCCCUUGCAAAAUAGCAUACCCAAAAUUCACUUUGAGGGGAACGAUGCAUAGCGGGACCUUGAAGAGAGAGACAUUCUCCAGAAAACUGACACCAAGUUACAUGGAGAGCCUGCCAUGAUUCCCAAUCAAGAGAGACAUGCCACAGAUAUUAAGAUACCAAGAGCAAAGAUAAUCACCAGUGCAUUCAAAUAUGAGCACCAACUUUCAAAAGGCAUAAGGCCUUAAUUUACCAUCAAGCUGUUUCUCAAAAGGGCAGCUCUGUGCAGGAUAUGGAUCAGCAGCAAUGUAUUUACUUAAUGAUUAAUGUUUCCCUGGAACAACUAUUGGGGAGACCAGCUACUGCAUAAAUAAAUGUUUGCGUGAACU